Molecule: ribosomal RNA, 468 nt
Filed under: uncultured bacterium
Lineage: Bacteria
Description: bacterial SSU rRNA
Rfam family: Bacterial small subunit ribosomal RNA
Source: RNAcentral
CCUACGGGAGGCAGCAGUGGGGAAUUUUGGACAAUGGGCGCAAGCCUGAUCCAGCCAUGCCGCGUGAGUGAAGAAGGCCUUCGGGUUGUAAAGCUCUUUCGGCCGGGAAGAAAUCGGCGACUCUAACAUAGUCGCUGGAUGACGGUACCGGACUAAGAAGCACCGGCUAACUACGUGCCAGCAGCCGCGGUAAUACGUAGGGUGCGAGCGUUAAUCGGAAUUACUGGGCGUAAAGCGUGCGCAGGCGGUUUUGUAAGACAGAGGUGAAAUCCCCGGGCUUAACCUGGGAACUGCGUUUGUGACUGCAAGGCUAGAGUAGGGCAGAGGGGGGUGGAAUUCCUGGUGUAGCAGUGAAAUGCGUAGAGAUGUGGAGGAACACCAAUGGCGAAGGCAGCCCCCUGGGUCGAUACUGACGCUCAUGCACGAAAGCGUGGGGAGCAAACAGGAUUAGAUACCCCUGUAGUCCAC